UUAGAGUUUGAUCCUGGCUCAGGACAAACGCUGGCGGCGUGCGUAAAACAUGCAAGUCGCACGAGGGCUUCGGCCCUAGUGGCAGACGGCUGAGUAACGCGUAGGAAUCUACCCACCCGUGGGGAAUAACGGGCCGAAAGGUCCGCUAAUACCGCAUACGACCAGCCUUCGGGCUGAGGAAAGCCGCAAGGUGCGGGUGGAGGAGCCUGCGUCCGAUUAGCUGGUUGGUGGGGUAACGGCCUACCAAGGCGACGAUCGGCAGCUGGUCUGAGAGGAUGACCAGCCAGACUGGGACUGGGACACGGCCCAGACUCCUACGGGAGGCAGCAGUUAGGAAUUUUGGGCAAUGGCCGCAAGGCUGACCCAGCAACGCCGCGUGGGGGACGAAGGCCUUCGGGUUGUAAACCCCUUUUCCCAGGGACGAUAGUGACGGUACCUGGGGAAUAAGCCCCGGCUAACUACGUGCCAGCAGCCGCGGUAAUACGUAGGGGGCGAGCGUUGUCCGGACUUAUUGGGCGUAAAGCGCGCGUAGGCGGCGUGGCAAGUCGGCCGUGAAAUCUCCAGGCUCAACUUGGAGGGGUCGGGCGAGACUGCGACGCUAGAGGCGGGCAGAGGGCAGUGGAAUUCCGGGUGUAGUGGUGGAAUGCGUAAGAUCCGGAGGAACACCAGUGGCGAAGGCGGCUGCCUGGGCCUGGCCUUGACGCUGAGGCGCGAAAGCGUGGGGAGCGAUCGGAUUAAAUACCCGGGUAGUNCCACGCCGUAAACGAUGGGUACUAGGUGUCGGGGGUAUCGACCCCCUCGGUGCCGGCGCUACCGCAUAAGUACCCCGGCCUGGGGAAUACGGCGCAAGGUUAAACUUCAAAGGAUUGAACGGGGCCCGGCACAAGCAGCGGAGCGUGUGGUUUAAUUCGAUGCAACGCGCAGAACCUUACCUGGGCUUGACAUGCGCGAAGUAGGACCCGGAAACGGGAACGACCCGUUUGAGUCGGGAGCGCGCACAGAUGCUGCAUGGCUGUCGUCAGCUCGUGCCGUGAGGUGUUGGGUUAAGUCCCGCAACGAGCGCAACCCUCGUCGCCAGUUACCUGUCUGGCGAGACCGCCGGGUGCAACCCGGAGGAAGGUGGGGAUGACGUCAAGUCAGCACGGCUCUUACGUCCAGGGCUACACACACGCUACAAUGGUCGGGACAACGGGCAGCGAAGGGGCGACCCGGAGCGAAUCCCAGCAAACCCGGCCUCAGUGAGGAUCGGAGGCUGCAACUCGCCUCCGUGAAUGCGGAGUUGCUAGUAACCGCGGGUCAGCACACCGCGGUGAAUACGUUCCCGGGCCUUGUACACACCGCCCGUCACGUCAUGAAAGUGGGAGACGCCUGAAGCCGGUGGGCUAACCCGCAAGGGAGGCAGCCGUCGAAGGCGGGGCCCGCGAUUGGGACGAAGUCGUAACAAGGUAGCCGUACCGGAAGGUGCGGCUGGAUCACCUCC
Molecule: ribosomal RNA, 1480 nt
Filed under: uncultured bacterium
Lineage: Bacteria
Description: bacterial SSU rRNA
Rfam family: Bacterial small subunit ribosomal RNA
Source: RNAcentral